GGUUCGAUUAUGGCUCAGAUUGAACGCUGGCGGGAUGCUUUACACAUGCAAGUCGAACGGCAGCACGGAAUUUCGGUCUGUGGCGAGUGGCGAACGGGUGAGUAAUGUAUCGGAACGUGCCUAGUAGCGGGGGAUAACUACGCGAAAGCGCAGCUUAUUUUCCGCGGCUGCUCCCCUUCGGGGGAAAGCGACUCCGGCCUCGCACCAGGAGCGGCCGAUAUCGGAUUAGCUAGUUAGGUAACGGCUCACCAUGACGAUCCAGCUGGUUUGAGAGGACGACCAGCCACACUGGGACUGAGACACGGCCCAGACUCCUACGGGAGGCAGCAGUGAAUUUUGGAUAAUGGGGAAACUCCUGGGAUCCAGCCAUCCCGCGUGUGCGAUGAAGGCCUUCGGGUUGUAAAGCACUUUUGGCAGGAAAGAAACGGCACGUGGGAUAAUACUCCCGUGCAACUGACGGUACCUGCAGAAUAAGCACCGGUUAACUACGUACAGCAGCCGCGGUAAUGUAGGGUGCAAGCGUUAAUCGGAAUUACUGGGCGUAAAGCGUGCGCAGGCGGUUCGGAAAGAAAGAUGUGAAAUCCCAGAGCUUAACUUUCUUGGGAACUGCAUUUUUAACUACCGAGCUAGGAGGCUGAGGGAGGUGGAAUUCGCGUGUAGCAGUGAAAUGCGUAGAUAUGCGGAGGAACACCGACGGCGAAGGCAGCCUCCGGGAGAACACUGACGUCAUGCACGAAAGUGGGAGCAAACAGGAUUAGAUACCAUCUGGUAGUCCAUGCCCAAACGAUGUCAAUUAGCUGUUGGGGCCCUCGGCCUUGGUAGCGCAGCUAACGCGUGAAGUUGACCGCCUGGGGAGUACGGUCGCAAGAUUAAAACCUCAAAGGAAUUGACGGGACCCGUACGCGGUGGAUGAUGUGGAUUAAUCUGAUAAACGCUGAAAACCUUACCUACCCUUGAUGUCUGGAAUCCUGAAGAGAUUUGGGAGUGUCGUGCUAGAACUGGAAACGACAGGUGCUGUAUGGGCUGUCGUCAGCUCUCGUCGAGAUGUUAAGUCCCGCAACGACGCAACCUUGUCAUUAGUUGCUAGAAAGGGCACUCUAUACUAGAGAUCGGUCGUGGUGACAAAACCGAGGAAGGUGGGGAUGACGCCCGUCCUCAAUAUGGCCCUUAUGGGUAGGGUCAAUGUCAUACAAUGGCUCGGACAGAGGGUCGCCAACCCGCGAGGGGGAGCCAAUCCCAGAAACCCGAUCGUAGUCCGGAUCGUGCUCCGCAACUCGACUGCGUGAAGUCGGAAUCGCCAGUAAUCGUGGAUCAGCAUGUCGCGGUGAAUACGUUCCCGGUCUUGUACACACCGCCCAAGCACCAUGGGAGUGGGUUUUACCAUAGUUAGUCAACCGUAAGGAGGCGAUU
Molecule: ribosomal RNA, 1410 nt
Filed under: uncultured Bordetella sp.
Lineage: Bacteria; Pseudomonadati; Pseudomonadota; Betaproteobacteria; Burkholderiales; Alcaligenaceae
Description: partial 16S-23S ribosomal RNA intergenic spacer
Rfam family: Bacterial small subunit ribosomal RNA
Source: RNAcentral